Molecule: long non-coding RNA, 1377 nt
Organism: Oncorhynchus tshawytscha (Chinook salmon)
Lineage: Eukaryota; Metazoa; Chordata; Actinopteri; Salmoniformes; Salmonidae
Exons: 3
Source: RefSeq, a predicted model, not a curated record
UUAUGCCUGUUGUUCACACGCCUAUCUGCCCUCUCAGUGGCUAGAAUGGUCCCCCCUGAUCUCACUUGCCUACGCUCAAUUGUGGACAUGUAUUUCCAUUGUUAGAGCGGUCACUCGGCUAUCUUGUCAAUAUAAUAGAUAAUCUUUGGCGUUGUGCAGUUGUAGACUACGGAAACUGAGAGAAGCUCAAAUUUAGAGAGCCAUGAAAAAUCCACGUUUUUUGAGUCCGGGGAACAGUAGGUUAACUGCCAUGCUCAGGGGCAGAACGAUAGAUUUUUACCUCGUCAGCUCGGGGAUUCGAUCCCGCAACUUUUCGGUUACUGGCCCAACGCUACGUGACCGCAUUGUAUUGAGCCUUCUGUGGCAAAAUUAUUAUAUAAAUCAUAUUUGAUUGACUUUACAUAGUAGAAGUCAUGUGAAUGAGAGCCUCAUUAGCAUUAGCACAAAGACAAUGGGUUUGUCGACGUUGCAGCCGACAGUGCAGGCGACUGCCGACUGACUGAGCUACAAAUCACCAUGCAUCUUUAAUAACUACUCAUUAUUAUAUGUAGAUCAGUCAGGCAGUCACCAUUUACUCAUAAUGCAUCAUGGAUUUGAUGCUCUCGAACACGGCCAAUAUCAGUAUACAUACAGGUGAAAACAAGACCAGGUUAUGUUGUUGUGGGGACCAAAAUAUUACAAAAUUGGUACACAUUCAGUGAACAUAAUGUACGGUCUUUAAUUCAGUGCUUUAAAAAAAACGUAUUACAUAGUAAAGUUUGAUAGUUUCUCUUGGUCAACAUGUAUGCAUUUCAUCAUCAACAACACCAGUGUCACACCCCCGUUUUUAUUGGGCGCUCAGCAAUAUUUAGGCAGUAGGAAUGUUCAUCCCUUAAUAAAGGCCUGGACAAUAGGGGGCCUCUGCCGUAACUGUUGCUGGCGGGCUGGUCAGGUGCAAUGCCGUCAAAACAUCAGCUUUACCCAACACAGGGUCACAUUAUUUCACAGACAAACAGAUGCGACCUCCACUAUAUGACAACGCCACUCCAUCCACAGGGACUAAACCAACAGCAGACCUUGAGCAAGAGGCACAUCGCAGAUAAUACAGUAGCAAAGGAGACAUCAUAGAGAUUAUAGUGUACUUUUGGAGCUGUAUUCAGUAAUUGGACCUGUAGCAACUAUUGUUAUCAGUUGAAUUGGAUCUCUUUUGGUCAGACCACAUGAACAUGAUUGGGAAAACUCUUUUGCUAGUCUGCCUGGCUGUCUUCUUUUCUGCAGUAGACGCAGCAGACCAGUCCAGACUCUACAGGAGGCCAUCUUGUGGGGAUAUGAGCCAAUCCCAGGCAUGCCCGCUCAACUACUCCCCAGUGUGCGGUAAUGAUGGAAACACUUAUCCCA